Non-coding RNA from Chiloscyllium plagiosum (whitespotted bambooshark), 472 nucleotides. The record is from the annotation of a RefSeq genome assembly. Lineage: Eukaryota; Metazoa; Chordata; Chondrichthyes; Orectolobiformes; Hemiscylliidae.
CGAAAGGAGAUCGACGAUAGAGAAGUGUCUGGACUGAAGAAUUGACAAGGGAGUAAGAACCAUGAAGAACUGCCUUUCUCGAUUACUCAUCAUUGUCUCACUUCUCAAAUACAGUUACGAAGACACAGUGGAGCAGUCAAUUCCUGAAAUGACGGUUGAGGAAGGAACUAAUGUCACAAUCACCUGCAAAUUGAAGACAAGUACUACUAAUCCUUAUGUUUACUGGUACAGUCAGCCCCCAGGGCAGCCUCCACAAUACGUCGUUUACAUGCUUACAGCUGGAAUGGUAAACAGGAAUCCUGACUUCUCUGAUCGUUUUUCUUUGACAUUUGAUAAAACUACGAAGAUUACCGAGUUAGCGAUCAGUAAUGCCUUCAACACUGACUCUGCUGUGUAUUUCUGUGCCAUGAGCCUCACACUGGCGCAGACAGAUAGCAGAGCACGUCAAAAACCCACUCAGUAUUCCCGUUAG